AUUGAACGCUGGCGGCAGGCCUAACACAUGCAAGUCGAACGAGGGGCGGACGGGUGAGUAACGUCUGGGACACUGCCUGAUGGCGGGGGAUAACUACUGGAAACGGUAGCUAAUACCGCAUACCAUCGGAUGUGCCCAGAUGGGAUUCGCUAGUAGGUGGGGGAACGGCUCACCUAGGCGACGAUCCCUAGCUGGUAUGCGAGGAUGACCAGCCACACUGGAACUGAGACACGGCCCAGACUCCUACGGGAGGCAGCAGUGGGGAAUAUUGCACAAUGGGCGAAAGCCUGAUAGAGCCAUGCCGCGUGUAUGAAGAAGGCCUUCGGGUUGUAAAGUACUUUCAGCGGGGAUGCGGUACCCGAACAAGAAGCACCGGCUAACUCCGUGCCAGCAGCCGCGGUAAUAC
RNAcentral lists this ribosomal RNA (406 nucleotides) under uncultured bacterium. RNAcentral describes it as "partial 16S ribosomal RNA". It matches the Rfam family "Bacterial small subunit ribosomal RNA", at positions 30 to 526 of the family's 1533-position model. The record is from RNAcentral.